GGAAUCUCAUUAACAGAUGUUCCCAUGUUUUACUAUACAGAGUGAGCACGUCUCAACUCUGUGAUGACACAAGGCCUGUGCAUAUUAAAACUCCAUAGAUAUUUGCCAGAUAAGUCUGAAGCCCAGGAAAGCGAAGGAAUUUACUGAAGGCCGCCAUGCUGUCUGGCACUUGAGCUAGAACUCGGCCCCAAGCCCAACAAAUAAAGUCCACAAUCUUUAAGACAUCCACUAAGUUUUGCCCCUCCCCCUCAGCCUUGCUCUUCAGAAACCUGUUCCUUCAGUGAGAAAUCCCAACCAAGAGUUUCAAGGUACAUCUGUUGCCAGCCAGACCCUGAACUGGACAGUACUCAACGGAAGAAAGAGAUGAGAGUGUCC
Long non-coding RNA from Bos taurus (domestic cattle), 375 nucleotides. Lineage: Eukaryota; Metazoa; Chordata; Mammalia; Artiodactyla; Bovidae. The record is from Ensembl.